UAUGGGAAAAGAAUCUGAAGAAGAAUGGAUAUGAGUAUGUGUAUAACUAAUCACUUUGCAUACAUCUAAAACUAACCUACACUGUAAGUCAACUACACUCCGAUAAAAAUGUUUUAAAUGAAUAAUGCACUGACGCUUGUGCGUAGCAAGGACAGUAAAUGCAAAUCUAAUUGGGUGGCUCUGUUGGCUUUGUGCUCUUUUAGGGAUAGGAGUAGGGACAGCUACAAAGGGGUUCCUGUGCUGCCACAUCCUGUGAAAAAGGACAGAUUCAGAUUCUUUGGCCUGGCAGGCAUCUUUUGGGUCGCUAAAAAGAAGAGAAGUUGUGACUCUACGACCAGAAAGUUUUUCUUCCAGGUCAACCAGCUGCUUCCGGUUUUGACCUCAUCUUCAUCAAGCUGGACAACACAGCAGUACUCAAAAAUCCUGCCAAAUGAAGGAGUGCCACAAAGAGCAAACUCUGCUGUUUGGAACUCACUCCCUGGGGGGACAAUGGGAGGACAAAGUGAUUACAACGUGGAGGAGAGGCCUGCACAGGAACUUUAUCUGUAAGAGGCAGCAUGGCAUCAAGCAGGGUCAACAACAAGCCAGAUGGUCAACAUUUGAGGCACCUGAAAUUACCCCAACUCUUCUGUUCCAGCACAAAAGCAGCCAGACAACAUACACGUGAAGAGAUGUAGCUGCAGUCUUAUUAAUAAAGCUUUGUUUAUAGACACUGAAA
This is a long non-coding RNA of Phacochoerus africanus (Common warthog), 718 nucleotides long. RefSeq lists it as uncharacterized. The transcript has 3 exons. NCBI's taxonomy places the organism in Eukaryota, Metazoa, Chordata, Mammalia, Artiodactyla, Suidae. The record is from RefSeq and is a predicted model, not a curated record.